GACGAACGCUGGCGGCGUGCUUAACACAUGCAAGUCGAGCGGAAAGGCCCUGCUUUUGUGGGGUGCUCGAGUGGCGUACGGGUGAGUAACACGUGAGUAACCUGCCCUUGACUUUGGGAUAACUUCAGGAAACUGGGGCUAAUACCGGAUAGGAGCUCCUGCUGCAUGGUGGGGGUUGGAAAGUUUCGGCGGUUGGGGAUGGACUCGCGGCUUAUCAGCUUGUUGGUGGGGUAGUGGCUUACCAAGGCUUUGACGGGUAGCCGGCCUGAGAGGGUGACCGGCCACAUUGGGACUGAGAUACGGCCCAGACUCCUACGGGAGGCAGCAGUGGGGAAUAUUGCACAAUGGGCGGAAGCCUGAUGCAGCAACGCCGCGUGCGGGAUGACGGCCUUCGGGUUGUAAACCGCUUUCGCCUGUGACGAAGCGUGAGUGACGGUAAUGGGUAAAGAAGCACCGGCUAACUACGUG
This 468-nucleotide ribosomal RNA is filed under the name uncultured bacterium. RNAcentral's name for it is "partial 16S ribosomal RNA". It matches the Rfam family "Bacterial small subunit ribosomal RNA", at positions 28 to 507 of the family's 1533-position model. The record is from RNAcentral.